RNAcentral lists this long non-coding RNA (2423 nucleotides) under Homo sapiens (human). Its description in RNAcentral is "non-protein coding lnc-SLCO1A2-1:3". Lineage: Eukaryota; Metazoa; Chordata; Mammalia; Primates; Hominidae. The record is from RNAcentral.
GUUGUUUGGAAGGCUGAUGCUCUGGUUAAAGAGUCAAGAGAAUCUUUUUCUUUUAAAUUAUUUAUUCUUUAGAGCAAUUGGGUGAAGUAUGUUUUUAUGAGCAAAUUUACCUUUCUCUCCAAGUUCUCCCAAAUUUGGAAACCCUGAGAAACCCUGAAAAUACUCUGUCCUGGGCUUAUAUGCCUUAGACACAACUGGGAUUGCUGAGCUCAAGGGUUGCAGAGCAUCCUACUAUGGGAAGAAUGAGGACAUAACUCAGAUUGUUCUGGAUAUUUCCCUCAUUGCUGAGAAUGCAGAAUGUUUCUGACCAAGAAUUGCAAGCAAGAACAGGAAAGAGUGGAGUCGGCCAAGAUGUUUCUGUUGGCAAUAACAUGUGCAUUUGUAUCCAAAACACUGUCUGGAUCUUAUAUGAAUUCCAUGCUCACACAAAUAGAGAGACAAUUCAACAUCCCAACAUCUCUAGUUGGAUUCAUUAAUGGAAGCUUUGAGAUUGGAAAUCUUUUGUUGAUUAUAUUUGUGAGUUAUUUUGGAACCAAACUGCAUAGACCUAUAAUGAUUGGCAUUGGAUGUGUGGUUAUGGGCUUAGGCUGUUUCUUAAAAUCACUACCUCAUUUCCUCAUGAACCAAUAUGAAUAUGAAUCUACAGUUUCAGUUUCAGGCAACUUGUCCUCAAACAGUUUCUUGUGUAUGGAAAAUGGAACCCAGAUUUUAAGACCAACGCAGGAUCCAUCAGAGUGUACAAAGGAAGUUAAAUCAUUAAUGUGGGUGUACGUCCUAGUAGGCAAUAUUGUACGUGGAAUGGGUGAAACUCCCAUCCUGCCUUUGGGUAUUUCCUAUAUAGAAGAUUUUGCCAAAUUUGAAAAUUCUCCUUUAUAUAUUGGGCUUGUAGAAACAGGAGCUAUUAUUGGUCCUUUGAUUGGACUUUUGUUGGCAUCAUUCUGUGCAAAUGUUUAUGUUGACACUGGAUUUGUGAACACAGAUGAUCUGAUCAUAACUCCCACUGACACUCGUUGGGUCGGUGCAUGGUGGUUUGGCUUUCUGAUUUGUGCAGGAGUUAACGUGCUCACUGCCAUUCCUUUUUUCUUUUUGCCCAACACACUUCCAAAGGAAGGACUAGAGACUAAUGCUGACAUCAUUAAAAAUGAAAAUGAAGACAAACAAAAAGAAGAGGUCAAGAAGGAAAAAUAUGGAAUCACUAAAGAUUUUCUACCUUUCAUGAAAAGUCUUUCCUGCAAUCCAAUUUAUAUGCUUUUCAUACUUGUAAGUGUGAUACAGUUCAAUGCAUUCGUUAACAUGAUCUCCUUCAUGCCUAAAUACCUAGAACAGCAAUAUGGAAUAUCAUCUUCAGAUGCAAUCUUUCUAAUGGGUAUUUAUAACUUACCUCCAAUAUGUAUUGGAUAUAUAAUUGGUGGUUUAAUUAUGAAGAAGUUCAAGAUUACUGUCAAACAAGCUGCCCACAUAGGAUGUUGGUUAUCCUUACUUGAGUAUCUUCUCUAUUUUUUAUCUUUUCUCAUGACUUGUGAAAAUUCUUCAGUUGUUGGAAUAAAUACCUCUUAUGAAGGAAUUCCACAAGAUUUAUAUGUGGAAAAUGACAUCUUUGCUGAUUGCAAUGUGGAUUGCAACUGUCCAUCUAAAAUAUGGGAUCCUGUGUGUGGAAACAAUGGCUUGUCAUAUCUGUCAGCUUGUCUUGCUGGUUGUGAGACAUCCAUUGGAACGGGAAUAAACAUGGUGUUCCAAAAUUGCAGCUGUAUUCAAACAUCAGGAAAUUCAUCUGCAGUUCUUGGGCUGUGCGACAAAGGACCUGACUGUUCCUUGAUGCUCCAGUACUUCCUAAUCUUGUCAGCGAUGAGCAGUUUCAUUUAUUCUUUGGCUGCCAUACCUGGAUAUAUGGUUCUCUUGAGGUGUAUGAAAUCUGAAGAGAAGUCCCUUGGUGUGGGAUUACAUACAUUUUGCACAAGAGUAUUUGGUAAAAAUAGUUAUUUUUUCCCACAUCCUAUCAGAACAAUAUUAUUAUUAUUAUUUUUUAUUACACUUUAAGUUUUAGGGUACAUGUGCACAACGUGCAGGUUUGUUACAUAUGUAUACAUGUGCCAUGUUGGUGUGCUGCACCCAUUAACUCAUCAUUUAACAUUAGGUGAAUCUCCUAAUGCUAUCCCUCCCCCCUUCCCCCACCCCACAACAGGCCCUGGUGUGUGAUGUUCCCCUUCCUGUGUCCAUGUGCAGAACAAUAUUAAAUACUAGAUAAACAAGGUAAUAUUAUUUCAGAAAAGCAGUCUAGCAAAUGUCCCUUCUGUAUGUAAAAAGCACGUUAUAAAUAUGAGAAUGCAGCACACAAAGAGAUAGAGAAUCUCUUUUACUUGAAAAGGCCCUGUCUGACCUUAAUUACACUAUUCUUUGUUUGAAGAUUUGAAAAUAAAAUGAAA